AACGUAGGAGACAAACGUUAUCCGGAGUUACUGGGCGUAAAGGGCGUGCAGGCGGUCUGUUAAGUUCGGCGUGAAAGCUCCCGGCUAAACCGGGAUAGGUCGUCGGAUACUGGCAGGCUCGAGGACAGUAGAGGCGGGUGGAAUUCCGGGUGUAGUGGUGAAAUGCGUAGAGAUCCGGAGGAACACCAGUGGCGAAGGCGACCCGCUGGGCUGUACCUGACGCUAAGACGCGACAGCAUGGGGAGCGAACGGG
Molecule: ribosomal RNA, 253 nt
Filed under: uncultured bacterium
Lineage: Bacteria
Description: partial 16S ribosomal RNA
Rfam family: Bacterial small subunit ribosomal RNA
Source: RNAcentral